Molecule: ribosomal RNA, 460 nt
Filed under: uncultured bacterium
Lineage: Bacteria
Description: partial 16S ribosomal RNA
Rfam family: Bacterial small subunit ribosomal RNA
Source: RNAcentral
CCUACGGGGGGCAGCAGUGAGGAAUAUUGGUCAAUGGACGGAAGUCUGAACCAGCCAUGCCGCGUGCAGGAAGACGGCUCUAUGAGUUGUAAACUGCUUUUGUACAAGGGUAAACCUGAAUACGUGUAUUCAGCUGAAAGUACUGUACGAAUAAGGAUCGGCUAACUCCGUGCCAGCCGCCGCGGUAAUACGGGGGAUCCAAGCGUUAUCCGGAUUUAUUGGGUUUAAAGGGUGCGUAGGCGGAUUGAUAAGUUAGAGGUGAAAUUUCCGGGCUUAACUCGGGAACGGCCUUUAAUACUGUUGAUCUAGAGAGUAGAUGCGGUAGGCGGAAUGUAUGGUGUAGCGGUGAAAUGCUUAGAGAUCAUAUAGAACACCGAUUGCGAAGGCAGCUUACCAAUCUAUAUCUGACGUUGAGGCACGAAAGCGUGGGGAGCAAACAGGAUUAGAUACCCGAGUAGUC